RNAcentral lists this ribosomal RNA (233 nucleotides) under uncultured Atopobium sp. RNAcentral's name for it is "partial 16S ribosomal RNA". It matches the Rfam family "Bacterial small subunit ribosomal RNA", at positions 123 to 354 of the family's 1533-position model. Lineage: Bacteria; Bacillati; Actinomycetota; Coriobacteriia; Coriobacteriales; Atopobiaceae. The record is from RNAcentral.
AACCUGCCCUUUGCACUGGGAUAGCCUCGGGAAACCGAGGUUAAUACCGGAUACUCCAUAUUUGUCGCAUGGCGAAUAUGGGAAAGCUCCGGCGGCAAAGGAUGGGCCCGCGGCCUGUUAGCUAGUUGGUGGGGUAGUGGCCUACCAAGGCAAUGAUGGGUAGCCGGGUUGAGAGACCGACCGGCCAGAUUGGGACUGAGACACGGCCCAGACUCCUACGGGAGGCAGCAGAA